This 2179-nucleotide long non-coding RNA is filed under the name Nicotiana tabacum (common tobacco). RNAcentral describes it as "long non-coding RNA (NTAB_LNC014135)". Lineage: Eukaryota; Viridiplantae; Streptophyta; Magnoliopsida; Solanales; Solanaceae. The record is from RNAcentral.
CCCAGUCCAAAAUUUUAAGUUUAUUUCUAGCCCAAUAACUCAAGACAAAUCCCAAGUCCAUUACUCUCUUAGUCUCUUUCCCUUGUUUCUAAGGAUUGAAAUUAGAAUUAGGUUUCUUUCAAUUCUCAAGAAAGAAGUGAAGAUCAGAUCGGCUGUGAGCUUGUGGCUGCGACUGCGAGUACUGCGAUAGAGAUGGCGUCACGGCGACUUCACGACCUCGGCACCGAAGACUUUCAAGUGUGACGGCUUGUUUCCUCAUUUUUGAUCUCCAUUCUUCAAUCUUCAACUCUUCAACAGGUUCACAACUUCUCCAUUCUUCAAUCUUCAGUUUGUAACUUUGUAUUCUGUAACCAAUAGCUUAUUUUUUGGGUGCAAAAGGCUAUAUAUACUGUAAACAAAUUUCGUCCCAACUUGCUAAGAAAUUAAGCCGAAUGCAGAAACUUAGAAUGCCUUUUUAGUUAGAGCAGAACAUUUGAUGAAAUAUUCUUGUGUUGAUCCUUUUAGAUAAGCCUAAGAGCUAAGGUAUGUGAUAAACAAUUGAAUAUCUGAAAUUGUUGUACUUUGAAAGUUAUUAAGGACCUCUUCUAUAUCAUUCCAAGCAAAUUGCAACCAGGCAGGAUGUGUGAGGCAAAUAUAAAUAAAUUCUUUUAUGCUUUGCUUUGAACGCAAUGUUAAAAAGAUCGAAAAAUUGGCCAAACCAAAAUCAGAUUCUAAAGCUUUUAUGCGAAUCACUUUGCAAGUACCAUUAAAAAAAUAAAUUGUAUACAUGGAAUACUGGAAUCUCUGGUUUCUUCCCUUUUCAUUUUCAUGCAUAUAACACACAGGAAGAACUGGCAGUAAUUGUUGAGACAUGAUUCGAAACUAAGCCAAUAGUAUUACAGGUUGUGUCUCCAUCUGCGCUUUAGUAUAAUUAAAGGUGCAAUAUUUACUGCUAAGAAAAUAAUUAAUAAGGAGUAUAUCAGUAUAUCUAAACUCAAAUCUAGUCUCAAUUUGUGUUUUACUGUUUGUAUUAGUUUUAAUUUUGUAUAGAUUGUAGAUGUAAGUAGAGUAAGUGAUGCCGAUUCAACUGAAAGAUUACCUAUUACGGAAGAUAGCAACACCAACACAAUUGAUACUCAAGAUUUCAAGAAAAGAAAAGCCAUAGAACCUAGAUCCGAAGUUUGGAAACAUUUUGAUAAAUUUGAGUUGGUGAAAAAUACAUGCUCCUAGAUUUCCUAUUCUUUCAGAGUUGGCUCGUGAUGUGUUGGCCAUUCCAAUUUCUAGUGUAGCGUCGGAAUAUGUGUUUAGCCUCGGUGGUCGUAUUCUUGAUUUAUUUAGGAGUUCAUUGACUCCUAAAUGCGUGCAAGCUCUUGUUUGUGUUCAAUAUUGACUUAGAGAAGAGAAGAAUCAUAUUAGUGUUGAAGAAGACUUGGAGUAUCUUGAGGAACUCGAGCUUGGUAAGCUUUAAUUUUUUUGUGUGUAUUUUAGUUCAAAAUAAUAUAUUACACUUGUUUAUUUAUUUGACAUAUUUGGUCGAAUUAUCUUUAGAUAUGGAAAAUAAUGAAAGCACUACUACCAUUGUUUGAUCACUUUGAUAUAUAGGUUCAACUUGAGUGGUGAGUUUAAUACUCUAUUUGUUUGAUGAUAUACUUUUGUAGUUUUGAUCUUUUAUCAUCAAAAAAUAAUAUUCUAACUUAUGAUUUUAUCUUCUUUUUUUUAGGUUCAAGUUCAAUCAUGCCCUGUGCUCCUAAAGUACGCUCUCAUAUUUGGGAACACUUUGAGGUGGUAGAAGAUAACAGAGAAGUUCGCACUAUGUUGAUGUUGUUGUUGCUUGCCGGCUUAUUAGUUAAACUUACAACUUUAUGUUUGGCAGAAUGGCAGUAGCCAGUAGGUUUGCAAACUUUGCAUAAUAUUGCUGUUGUGACUUGUGAGCCUAUGGAACUUUAGUUGUUAUUACUUAUUAGUAUAAACUUAAAUUCUGUUUGGCAGGUUUAUGCCCUCUCUGUUUUUGUUGCAUUGUGUUUAAUGAUGCUGCUACUCGUUAGUGGUUGUUGCAUGAUGCAUCUAUAUUUUUGUUGCAUCUGUGUAAAGCAUAAAUUUGAAUUAAAAAUUUUGUUGUUGGGUUAGAAAUUCUGUUGCUCAGAGUUUUCAGUAUGAUUUUGUAGUCCAUUUUUGGUUUUAGUGGUGCUGAUGCCUCAGG